Molecule: long non-coding RNA, 4182 nt
Organism: Gadus morhua (Atlantic cod)
Lineage: Eukaryota; Metazoa; Chordata; Actinopteri; Gadiformes; Gadidae
Source: Ensembl
AUGAUUGUGUUGCACAUGCAGUGUUCUUAUCUCUCCCGGGUAACUCCAGCCAAGUCUGUCCAGGAGAAGCUAGCAGAGGCCAUUUUAACGGAGGGCCAGUGCCACUCUGAACCAGAACUCAGUGACACCACCACAGAAGAAGACGAGGAGUUUACUGGUAGAGACAACCAGCAAAACAAUAAAGACGCUACUCCUAUUCAUUGCGAGACCUCAGAGACGCAAGAACCGACCCAGCCAGAGGAGAACAAAUGUGAGGCCAGCCUCGUCGACGCCGCAGAAGUUGAAGAGGAGACAGUCGAGCAGCAGGACGACCAGGAAGAACUCAAAGCAAAGCAAACCAACGAAGAAGCCGGCGAGGAGAAAGACGAAGAACUGCAAGCAGAAGAAGAGACGCCUGCAUUGGAAGCAGAUCCCGUAGAGGAAACGAUAGAGACAGAGAAGGAGGACUCAGAGGAGAAGGACGACAUGGAGGCAUCUCCACCCCAGGAGCCUGAGGAGACGGUGGAGGAGGAGAACCAGGAAGCGACGCCUCAAGCGGAUGAACCGGCGAAACCCGGGGACAAGGCUGCGGAGGAGGAGGUGGUGGAAGUGAUGGAGGAGGUGAAGGAGGUGGAGGAGGUGAAGGAGGUGGAGGAGGAGGUGAAGGAGGUGGAGGAGUCGAAGGACGAUGUGGAGGAGGUGGAGGAGGAGGUGAAGGAGGUGGAGGAUGCGGUGGAGGAGUCGAAGGAGGAGGUGGAGGAUGCGGUGGAGGAGUCGAAGGAGUAUGUGGAGGAGGUGAAGGAGGUGGUGGAGGAUGUUAAGGAGGAGGUGGAGGAGGUUAAAAAGGAAGAAGGCAUGGAGGCCGACAGUCAACCAGAGGCCAAAAACAAUGAAGCCAAUGAGGACUUGGCCGCAUUAGAACCCGAGGAAAAGAAAGAUGUUGAAACCGCUCUGCAACAAGACGCGGAGGAGCCGUCAGCUGCAGCUACAAGUGAAACGGUGGACGAGAACCCCCAGCUCUCAGACGAGGAGCCGUCGACUGCGGCUACAAGUCAAACGGUGGACGAGAACCCCCAGCCCUCGGAGGAGCCGGCUACAAGUCAAACGGCGGACACCAACACCCCGCCAUCGGAGGAGCCGGCUACAAGUCAAACGGCGGACAACAACACCCAGCUCUCAGAGGAAGAGUCGGCUACAAGUCAAGCGGUGGACACCAACACCCAGCCCUCGGAGGAGCCGGCUACAAGUCAAACGGCGGACACCAACACCCCGCCCUCGGACGAUCCGGCUGACAUCGGCGGUGGAGAGACAGCUGUGACUGGCAGGGGAAAACUGGGGGCAGGUGAGGCCACUGUGAAGACGGCAGGGACCCGAGUCCCGGCAGAGAGUUCAAGUAGCUCAUCAGAGCUGAGUGGAGCCGCCGCGGUGCUUCAAGCCGAACAGACAGCAGCAGCAGUGGAAACAAGUGGGACUAAAAUAGACCAUGACGAGCCUGUGGAGGAUUUACAUGAAGAGAGCGCUUCACAUGAGGAGAUGGAGAGCUUAAGAGGCAGAAUGACACAUGAUACAGGAGGGGAGGGCGGAAGUCUGACGUCUGUACCGCAGAACAAUGUUGAAAAGGACGAUGUAGAAAAGCAGGAGGAAGGCAAGGAUAAUAAUGUAGAAAAGAGUGAGGCAGGGCAGGUUGAAGAGGGGAGUGAUUUGGAGGCCAAAGAACAUACCGGAAACGACAGGGAGGAGGAGGAAGAAUGUAAAACAGUGGAGGAAUCAAUUCAGAAAGUUGAAGCCAUGGAAGCAACAGAAAGGACCAAAGAUGGCAUAAAGGCUGAAGCAAAGGAAACAUUAGAAGUAACAUAUGACAAAGCUAGUGAAGUUGCAGAUGAAGAGAAUGUGCAAAGAGAGGAAAAGCCAGAGAAAGACAUUGAGGAAACAGGAGAUGAAAACAGUUCAAAUAAAGUUGAUGUAGAGGGAUCCGAAAUACAGGUGGCUGAAAUAGAAAACAGUGUAGAUACCAAAGAAAGUUCUCAGUCUACUGUAGACCAAGCUGUAAAACAGGCAGAACAAGUAGAAGAGAAUGACCCCCAGAAACAAGCCUCUGAGACUGCUGUUAAACUGUCCGAAACAACUGUGGAUCAAGAACCAGUGACAGAGGCUGAAAAGACAUCAGAUGAAAGCAAUGUUGAAACAGAAAAUGUUGGGGACGCUCUCGAAGCAGACAAGGCCAUAGGGAUUCAACCCGAGGACGAAGCUAAAGAACUCAAAGGCAACAUGCCCGGGUCCGAUGGUGAUAAUGACGAUAAAGACGUUGCAGAAAAUUCAGGAGCAGCAGGACAGGGGACAUCUGCUGAAACAAAGGAGAACAUUGAAGACCAGGGCAAUCAAGCCAAACGCGUUGUGGUAGGAGAGAAGAUAGAUCCUAAGCAUUCAGAAGAACCAAAUGAAGAGAAGAAGAAGGAGGAGGAUCGCAUUAAUGACCAUGAGGAAAAAGACAAUCAAAGUUUACCGGAAAAUGUUGAUCAGGGACCUAGAGUUGAUCAAGUUCCAAAAGUGGAGGAAGAACAGCUGCAGGGUGGUUCUAAAGUCAUAGAAUCUGCUGAAUCCAAGGAAGCCAAGGAGCCUCCUGACAAAAAAGACACAGGUAUUGACGAUGAAAGCCCAGAUGAAAAUCAGGGCAAAGGUUCAGAAAUGAACACAAAAAAGGAUGACCAGAAUCACGGCGUAAAAGUUGAUUCCCUUGACGGACCUACAGUAGUGGAUACAGCAGACAACGUAGACGAUGAAAAGGUAGAAUCCAUCAUAGAGUCUAUUCUGAAUACCGACGACAACCACACAGACACCGAUCAUAACUCUGUUGUCGCUGUUGAGCCCAGUGCUGUGAGUGGAGAACACAGUGCAGACACAGAAGAAGGAAGCAAACCUUCGGAGGAAGCCGAAAGUGUGGUGUUCAAACCAGAAGCAGACCCAGCCCAGCCUGCUGUCCGUCAGGCAGCACAGAGCAGAGAGUGGGGCAAGGACGAUCCUGGCCUUCUAGAGGUCAAUGAAACUAAUGAGAAAGAAUCUGUGACUGCAGAUGUCUUGGAGAGUAAAGACAACAGGGACAAUCUUGUCACAGACUGGGUGACGUUACAUCAAACUUCAAAGUACUUUGAGACAUUUGUUGAAUCUCUAGAUGACAUGAAAGAGUUGCCAUCGAAUGCCAGUGCCGGUGCGUCUGACUAUGGGCUAUUGCAAUCUGCAAGCCCGCCUCAAAACAUGACCAGGUCUGAGAAGAAUGAGGAAAAUAUUGAGAAGCACGAAAAGGAGAGAGAACCCUUGUUAAAAAAUAGCAAUAACUCUCCCGACAAUACCAAAGUUGAACUUGCACGGUCGGACCUGAGAAGCAAUCCUUCCGAAGGCCUGGUGGAGAGAGAACCUGCUGAAGUUGAACAGAAGUUGAAGGAGCUAACUGAAGUGAAAACCGUAGUACCCACUUCAGAGGCAGACCAGAGUACCGAAGGGUCAAACCGGACAGACAUCAAGGGAGAGAACACUUUAGGGAAGCACAAAAACGACACUGGCUCAUCGGGAGGAGACAGAGAUAAAGAUGCCUCUACCAAGGGGAACAUUGCACACUGUGACAGUUCCAAAAUGGAGACGGAAGACAUUGGAGAAAACAAUAACGUAGAGUCUGUCCAACCUGAGAGCACCACCGAGCCUGACUCUGAGCUCCCAACAGAGAAGGAAGAAGUGAAAGAUGAACCUGAGGUAGAGGAAAACCAAACAACGGUAGAGGAGAUAAAAGAUGUACCUCAGCCUGACGACACUGAAGAUGAGGCCCUUCAGGCUCCAGGAGGGCUGUCGGAACCGAAAGCCUCCCAGCCAGAGGCACAACUUGACGACACCAAAGAAACAAUGGAAAGCAAAGAGGCAGACAACACGGAAGUCACAUCCGUAACCGAUCUUAUAGCUGUAACCAAUCUCACAUCUUCCUCGACGUCCGAUAACGGUGUCGACGAGGGCGGUCAAAAUAAACCUCAGGUCCAGUCAAAACCGUUGGAUAGGAGCGGUAGUUUGAGCAGCGAGAACAAAGAGGUUCAGUUGAUUGAGGAUUUCAAACCCACUGUAAGUAAGGACCAGCUGAGCGCCUAUAGAGUGGAAGAGACCUCCCUGUUUGGUCGCAGUUCAUAUCCCCAGUUUACAACACAGACAGGAAGUGGCUAUUGA